UGAGUAACACGUGGGUAACCUGGCCCCAAUCUGGGGAUAACACCUGGAAUUUAUGCUAAUACCGUUUCCCCAAGAAAGCCGUCUGGUUUUCUUUUCCAAGAUGGCUCUGCUAUCACUUCUGGAUGGACCCGCGGCGCAUUAGCUAGUUGGUGAGGUAACGGCUCACCAAGGCGAUGAUGCGUAGCCGACCUGAGAGGGUAAUCGGCCACAUUGGGACUGAGACACGGCCCAGACUCCUACGGGAGGCAGCAGUAGGGAAUCUUCCACAAUGGACGCAAGUCUGAUGGAGCAACGCCGCGUGAGUGAAGAAGGGUUUCGGCUCGUAAAGCUCUGUUGUUAAAGAAGAACGUGGGUGAGAGUAACUGUUCACCCAGUGACGGUAUUUAACCAGAAAGCCACGGCUAACUACGUGCCAGCAGCCGCGGUAAUACGUAGGUGGCAAGCGUUAUCCGGAUUUAUUGGGCGUAAAGCGAGCGCAGGCGGUCUUUUAAGUCUAAUGUGAAAGCCUUCGGCUCAACCGAAGAAGUGCAUUGGAAACUGGGAGACUUGAGUGCAGAAGAGGACAGUGGAACUCCAUGUGUAGCGGUGAAAUGCGUAGAUAUAUGGAAGAACACCAGUGGCGAAGGCGGCUGUCUGGUCUGUAACUGACGCUGAGGCUCGAAAGCAUGGGUAGCGAACAGGAUUAGAUACCCUGGUAGUCCAUGCCGUAAACGAUGAUUACUAAGUGUUGGAGGGUUUCCGCCCUUCAGUGCUGCAGCUAACGCAUUAAGUAAUCCGCCUGGGGAGUACGACCGCAAGGUUGAAACUCAAAAGAAUUGACGGGGGCCCGCACAAGCGGUGGAGCAUGUGGUUUAAUUCGAAGCUACGCGAAGAACCUUACCAGGUCUUGACAUCUUCUGCCAACCUAAGAGAUUAGGCGUUCCCUUCGGGGACAGAAUGACAGGUGGUGCAUGGUUGUCGUCAGCUCGUGUCGUGAGAUGUUGGGUUAAGUCCCGCAACG
RNAcentral lists this ribosomal RNA (1000 nucleotides) under Pediococcus acidilactici. RNAcentral's name for it is "bacterial SSU rRNA". It matches the Rfam family "Bacterial small subunit ribosomal RNA", at positions 107 to 1094 of the family's 1533-position model. Lineage: Bacteria; Bacillati; Bacillota; Bacilli; Lactobacillales; Lactobacillaceae. The record is from RNAcentral.